UGGGGAAUAUUGCACAAUGGAGGGAACUCUGAUGCAGCGACGCCGCGUGAACGAAGAAGGCUUUCGAGUCGUAAAGUUCUUUUAUAUGGGAAGAUAAUGACGGUACCAUAAGAAGAAGCCCCGGCUAACUACGUGCCAGCAGCCGCGGUAAUACGUAGGGGGCUAGCGUGGUCCGGAAUCACUGGGCGUAAAGGGUUCGCAGGCGGAAAUGCAAGUCAGGUGUAAAAGGCAGUAGCUUAACUACUGUAAGCAUUUGAAACUGCAUAGCUUGAGAAGAGUAGAGGUAAGUGGAAUUUUUAGUGUAGCGGUGAAAUGCGUAGAUAUUAAAAAGAAUACCGGUGGCGAAGGCGACUUACUGGGCUCAUUCUGACGCUGAGGAACGAAAGCGUGGGUAGCAAACAGG
RNAcentral lists this ribosomal RNA (403 nucleotides) under bacterium. RNAcentral describes it as "partial 16S ribosomal RNA". It matches the Rfam family "Bacterial small subunit ribosomal RNA", at positions 355 to 776 of the family's 1533-position model. The record is from RNAcentral.